Molecule: non-coding RNA, 214 nt
Organism: Monoraphidium neglectum
Lineage: Eukaryota; Viridiplantae; Chlorophyta; Chlorophyceae; Sphaeropleales; Selenastraceae
Source: Rfam
GCGAGCCGUAUGAAUUGAAAGGUUCACGUACGGUUCUGAGGGCAGUUUGAUAACCCUAAAGGGCGGAUAUCCUAAACGACCCCCUAGGGCCCCGGGGGACCUUAGGUCCCCGGGCCCUCGUCGUUCAGCCCCAAUGAGUUCGACCAUGCACAGCAUGGACGAGGGCCGCCUUAGCGGCCCUAGACAACCCUAAGGACAUCCUUCUGACCCCUAC